Molecule: ribosomal RNA, 465 nt
Filed under: uncultured bacterium
Lineage: Bacteria
Description: partial 16S ribosomal RNA
Rfam family: Bacterial small subunit ribosomal RNA
Source: RNAcentral
CCUACGGGAGGCAGCAGUAGGGAAUCUUCCACAAUGGGCGAAAGCCUGAUGGAGCAACGCCGCGUGGGUGAUGAAGGUCUUCGGAUCGUAAAACCCUGUUGUUAGAGAAGAAAGUGCGUGAGAGUAACUGUUCACGUUUCGACGGUAUCUAGCCAGAAAGCCACGGCUAACUACGUGCCAGCAGCCGCGGUAAUACGUAGGUGGCAAGCGUUAUCCGGAUUUAUUGGGCGUAAAGGGAACGCAGGCGGUCUUUUAAGUCUGAUGUUAAAGCCUUCGGCUUAACCGGAGUAGUGCAUUGGAUACUGGGAGACUUGAGUGCAGAAGAGGAGAGCGGAAGUCCAGGUGAAGCGGUGAAAUGCGUAGAUAUAUGGAAGAACACCAGUGGCGAAGGCAGCUUUCUGGUCUGUAACUGACGCUGAGGUUCGAAAGCGUGGGUAGCAAACAGGAUUAGAUACCCGGGUAGUC